Molecule: unclassified non-coding RNA, 429 nt
Filed under: Hevea brasiliensis (rubber tree)
Lineage: Eukaryota; Viridiplantae; Streptophyta; Magnoliopsida; Malpighiales; Euphorbiaceae
Source: RNAcentral
GAAUAUUGUCAAAGUUAAUUGAACUAGAUUCCACUGGAAAUGAGCAAAGAUGACACAUCAAGCAUAUAUAUUAAUCUUGAACUUGCCAGUUAUCAACAAUAAGAAUCAAUAUGAACAAAAGUUUAUGAGUGUAAGAUAUGGUACUUGAGCCUAACUCAACCCCAAAAAGGUAGCACAUGAGGGAGGAUUGCCCAAGUCCAUAUAAGCAAACCACCAGCCCAUUUCCAUGGGACUCUAGCCCACUCUAACAAUAAGUAAGGAAAUAUGAACAAUGGCUAAAAACAAGUGAAAAUGAUAACCUCAUGUAAUUUGAAGUUCACUUGCACUCUGUAUAUUGAGUACAACAAGCAUCUUAAUUCUUCAAAGAAUCGCACUUCAUUUGUGCACUAGUGAAUAGUCAAAACUGAAGCGACAAAAAGACGAUACACG